Salmo salar (Atlantic salmon) is the source of this 241-nucleotide non-coding RNA. The record is from RefSeq and is a predicted model, not a curated record. Lineage: Eukaryota; Metazoa; Chordata; Actinopteri; Salmoniformes; Salmonidae.
CACAGAGAAGCCAACCUCACUGCCCUGGUUGCCAUUGGACCUCGCAGGACGGGACCACUUGACUCCCCUGGAAACCAGGUGUGGCCAGCAGACAGUAUGUCAGUACUACAGAGGGCUGGGGUUCAGAGGAUGACUUGGGUCUCUCUGCCUGGAACAGGACCCUCCUCUACGACACUCUCAAGUCCCUGCUUUAGUGAGAACAGUGUGAUUAAACAGCAUAAUACAAUCCAUCUCUCUUCCA